RNAcentral lists this ribosomal RNA (797 nucleotides) under uncultured bacterium. RNAcentral describes it as "bacterial SSU rRNA". It matches the Rfam family "Bacterial small subunit ribosomal RNA", at positions 66 to 904 of the family's 1533-position model. The record is from RNAcentral.
ACGCACCCUUCGGGGUGAGUGGCGCACGGCUGAGUAACACGUGGGAAUCUGUCGUCGAGUGGGGGAUAACGCACCGAAAGGUACGCUAAUCCCGCAUACGUUCCGCAAGGAAGAAAGGCGCAAGUCGCUGGACGAGGAGCCUGCGGCCCAUCAGGUAGUUGGAGGGGUAACGGCCCACCAAGCCAAUGACGGGUAGCUGGUCUGUGAGGACAACCAGCCAGACUGGGACUGAGAACGGCCCAGACUCCUACGGGAGGCAGCAGUAAGGAAUUUUCGUCAAUGGGGGAAACCCUGAACGAGCAACGCCGCGUGGAGGAUGACGGUCUUCGGAUUGUAAACUCCUUUUAUGAGGGACGAUAAUGACGGUACCUCAGGAAUAAGCCCCGGCUAACUCUGUGCCAGCAGCCGCGGUAAUACAGAGGGGGCAAGCGUUGUCCGGAAUUACUGGGCGUAAAGAGCACGUAGGCGGUCGCGCAAGUGGUGUGUGAAACCACCCAGCUUAACUGGGUGACGCCAUGCCAAACUGCGCGACUCGAGUCAUGGAGAGGUUAUUCGAAUUGCUGGUGUAGUGGUGAAAUGCGUAGAGAUCAGCAGGAAGACCAAGGGCGAAAGCAGAUAACUGGCCAUGGACUGACGCUCAGGUGCGAAAGCGUGGGGAGCAAACUGGAUUAGAUACCCAGGUAGUCCACGCCGUAAACGAUGUAUGCUCGGUAUGUGUGCCUGUUAAGGGCAUGGGUACCUUAGGAAACCCGGUAAGCAUACCGCCUGGGAAGUACGAACGCAAGUUUAAAACUCAA